GACGAACGCUGGCGGCGUGCCUAAUACAUGCAAGUCGAACGCUGCAGGAGGAGCUUGCUUCUCUGGAUGAGUUGCGAACGGGUGAGUAACGCGUAGGUAACCUGCCUGGUAGCGGGGGAUAACUAUUGGAAACGAUAGCUAAUACCGCAUAAUAGUAGAUGUUGCAUGACAUUUGCUUAAAAGGUGCAAUUGCAUCACUACCAGAUGGACCUGCGUUGUAUUAGCUAGUUGGUGAGGUAACGGCUCACCAAGGCAACGAUACAUAGCCGACCGGAGAGGGGGAUCGGCCACACUGGGACUGAGACACGGCCCAGACGCCUACGGGAGGCAGCAGUAGGGAAUCUUCAGCAAUGGACGGAAGUCUGACCGAGAAACGCCGCGUGAGUGAAGAAGGUUUUCGGAUCGUAAAGCUCUGUUGUAAGAGAAGAACGAGUGUGAGAGUGGAAAGUUCACACUGUGACGGUAUCUUACCAGAAAGGGACGGCUAACUACGUG
RNAcentral lists this ribosomal RNA (495 nucleotides) under uncultured bacterium. Its description in RNAcentral is "partial 16S ribosomal RNA". It matches the Rfam family "Bacterial small subunit ribosomal RNA", at positions 28 to 507 of the family's 1533-position model. The record is from RNAcentral.